AGAGUUUGAUCAUGGCUCAGGAUGAACGCUAGCGGGAGGCCUAACACAUGCAAGCCGAGCGGUAGAGAUUCUUCGGAAUCUUGAGAGCGGCGUACGGGUGCGGAACACGUGUGCAACCUACCUUUAUCUGGAGGAUAGCCUUUCGAAAGGAAGAUUAAUACUCCAUAAUAUAUUGAUUGGCAUCAAUUGAUAUUGAAAGCUCCGGCGGAUAGAGAUGGGCACGCGCAAGAUUAGUUAGUUGGUGAGGUAACGGCUCACCAAGACGAUGAUCUUUAGGGGGCCUGAGAGGGUGAUCCCCCACACUGGUACUGAGACACGGACCAGACUCCUACGGGAGGCAGCAGUGAGGAAUAUUGGUCAAUGGGUGCAAGCCUGAACCAGCCAUCCCGCGUGAAGGACGACUGCCCUAUGGGUUGUAAACUUCUUUUGUAUAGGGAUAAACCUACCCUCGUGAGGGUAGCUGAAGGUACUAUACGAAUAAGCACCGGCUAACUCCGUG
This 499-nucleotide ribosomal RNA is filed under the name uncultured bacterium. RNAcentral's name for it is "bacterial SSU rRNA". It matches the Rfam family "Bacterial small subunit ribosomal RNA", at positions 8 to 507 of the family's 1533-position model. The record is from RNAcentral.